Molecule: microRNA precursor, 76 nt
Filed under: Myotis lucifugus (little brown bat)
Lineage: Eukaryota; Metazoa; Chordata; Mammalia; Chiroptera; Vespertilionidae
Description: mir-9229 microRNA precursor family
Rfam family: mir-9229 microRNA precursor family
Source: Rfam by way of RNAcentral
GAGACACCCCUCUGGGGCUAGACUUACUUUGAUGGGGCUUUGGUGCUCACUGAGUCUGCCCCCUGAGUGUGUCUUU